This is a non-coding RNA of Caenorhabditis elegans, 137 nucleotides long. The record is from Ensembl. NCBI's taxonomy places the organism in Eukaryota, Metazoa, Nematoda, Chromadorea, Rhabditida, Rhabditidae.
AAAGAAGAUGAUGAAGUGGCGGAAAAAGAGGCUGAACUAAAUUGAGUCAGUCAAGUUCAGAAAAGACUAAUUUGUUGAGGAAGGCAACGGAGGAGGACAUGUGGGAUGGAAAAGAGCAUUACAUAGUUUGUCAUCCA